RNAcentral lists this ribosomal RNA (615 nucleotides) under Nostoc punctiforme MACC 106. Its description in RNAcentral is "bacterial SSU rRNA". It matches the Rfam family "Bacterial small subunit ribosomal RNA", at positions 36 to 698 of the family's 1533-position model. Lineage: Bacteria; Bacillati; Cyanobacteriota; Cyanophyceae; Nostocales; Nostocaceae. The record is from RNAcentral.
CUACCGCAGCUUACACAUGCAAGUCGAACGGUCUCUUCGGAGAUAGUGGCGGACGGGUGAGUAACGCGUGAGAAUCUGGCUUCAGGUCGGGGACAACCACUGGAAACGGUGGCUAAUACCGGAUGUGCCGAAAGGUGAAAGAUUUAUUGCCUGAAGAUGAGCUCGCGUCUGAUUAGCUAGUAGGAAGUGUAAGAGACUACCUAGGCGACGAUCAGUAGCUGGUCUGAGAGGAUGAUCAGCCACACUGGGACUGAGACACGGCCCAGACUCCUACGGGAGGCAGCAGUGGGGAAUUUUCCGCAAUGGGCGAAAGCCUGACGGAGCAAUACCGCGUGAGGGAGGAAGGCUCUUGGGUUGUAAACCUCUUUUCUCAGGGAAGAACAAAAUGACGGUACCUGAGGAAUAAGCAUCGGCUAACUCCGUGCCAGCAGCCGCGGUAAUACGGAGGAUGCAAGCGUUAUCCGGAAUGAUUGGGCGUAAAGCGUCCGCAGGUGGCAGUGUAAGUCUGCUGUUAAAGAGUGAGGCUUAACCUCAUAAAAGCAGUGGAAACUACACAGCUAGAGUACGUUCGGGGCAGAGGGAAUUCCUGGUGUAGCGGUGAAAUGCGUAGAAAUA